UGUGAGCUACCAGCAGCGUUUUAGAGUGGAGGGGAAUCCGAGUGCUUUGGGAGGAAUGAGGCGACUGAUCUGCAAGCGCAUCUGUGAUUGUAAGUUGCAGCAUCAGGCAGGUAGAAAGGAUGCCGGGUGUGUUCUCGCAGAUGGGAGGAAAAAACAAGCAGCACUGAGAAGGUGAACUGCCUGUGCAGUCAGCAUGGCAAGCUGCUUUCAGGGAUGAUUUACACGAUCUGCUAAAACAUAUUUCAUUGUCUACAUAAUUUUAAUUGUUGAUUAUAUUGGCUGAAGCUUUAAAUAAUUAUAGAUGGGUUUUGCUUGUAUGUAGAAUAAUGUUUACAUUUGUUGUGUGUUCUAAUUAUUUUAUGCCAAGGCCUGAAACAAAGGGCUGUAAAUAAAGCAGAGAUUCUCUUUUUCCUUCCACUGUGCUAUGCUAGUGCUGCUGUGGAUUUUGCUAUGUCUGAGCUGCGAUGGGAGUGGAUGAGCCCUGUUUGCAAACCCUGCAAUAAUAGGUGUGUCCAUUCCUUAUUCUCUUCUCCUUUCUUUUAUUGUUCAUAGAUAAAAGCUUUGAUGAUGAAGAGUCAGUGGAUGGGAACAGGCCUUCAUCAGCUUUCAAGGUUCCUGCCCCAAAGAAACCUGGGAAUCCAAUCAACCCUGCUAGGAAGCCUGUGUCUGGAGUCAAGGGUGGAGG
Non-coding RNA from Pelobates cultripes (western spadefoot toad), 685 nucleotides. NCBI's taxonomy places the organism in Eukaryota, Metazoa, Chordata, Amphibia, Anura, Pelobatidae. The record is from the annotation of a GenBank genome assembly.